RNAcentral lists this ribosomal RNA (164 nucleotides) under Zingiber ellipticum. RNAcentral's name for it is "5.8S ribosomal RNA". It matches the Rfam family "5.8S ribosomal RNA". From Rfam's summary of the family: 5.8S ribosomal RNA (5.8S rRNA) is a component of the large subunit of the eukaryotic ribosome. It is transcribed by RNA polymerase I as part of the 45S precursor that also contains 18S and 28S rRNA. The record is from RNAcentral. Lineage: Eukaryota; Viridiplantae; Streptophyta; Magnoliopsida; Zingiberales; Zingiberaceae.
CAAAUGACUCUCGGCAAUGGAUAUCUCGGCUCUUGCAUCGAUGAAGAACGUAGUGAAAUGCGAUACUUGGUGUGAAUUGCAGAAUCUCGUGAACCAUUGAGUCUUUGAACGCAAGUUGUGCCCGAGGCCUUGYGGCCGAGGGCACGCCUGCUUGGGCGUCAUGG